GGAGGAGAGCUCCCCGCCUGGCGCUGGAGAAAUGGGUAAGUUUAACCCCUUCCUCUCCCCAGGGAGGGGGUCCCUGAGGGUGGGGUCACCCUCAGGGCACUAUAGUACCAGGAAAACAAGUAUGUUUUCCUGGCACUAUAGUGGUCCUUUAACAGAGGGAGAUAAAAAAAACAUUGAAUAAGUCUAGAGCAACAAGCUGACCUGUCAAGUAUCAUUCAAUAUUUCUUUACACCUAGCAUUCAAAGUUAUACAGCCCUUACAACUCUUCUUCUCAGUAUUGCUUGGAAAACAGAAGAAGAACAAAAUAACUCUGGGCAUUACAGAAAGGGUCUUGAAUUAUAAUUAGAUAGCUCCCUCAGUCUCAGGCCCUAAAUCUGUGAAAUGUAUACAUUUUCUGCAUUCCGCCCUGUUAGCAGGUAAAGCCACGUUAAUGGAGAUUUGUUCUCGACAGAGAGAUUAUUAUCCUCACAUAUGUUAAAAUGAAUUGAUUGAAAAUCAAAAGAAGUCAAGUUUGAUUUUUUAACACAUCCCCAUUUGGUGCCAUUGAUCCAAAAAUGCAAGCAAGUGAAAUUAUUUUUUUUACUAUAAAAGGACACAAUUUGUUCCUAGAGAACUGCAAUGGUCUCUUGCAUACAUUUCUUGUCUGAACCACAAGGAAGUCACAUUUUAUUUUGCAGGGACUUUUAAAUCCAAAAUGUUUUCUCUAUUCUUUGUUUUUGUUGUUGCUGAUAUUUUAUAUAUUUCUCCAGGAAGCAUAGUUAAACACCACGGCACUUGUGAAGUCGUUCCAAAAGAAGGAAGUUGAACAAAAGUAUAUUGUGAUAACAUGAGCCUAUUCUGCAACCAUAAACUGUCAUGUAAUAAAAACAAGUCAGUUCAUAGUAAUAAAAAAGAGGAAGUAAAAAAAAUCUUUCUUUCAGAACUCAGUGAUGACAUUUUUUUCCAUGAUCUACAGCAGGGUUAGUCAAUCCUUUAGUAGUACUGUGCCAAUGGAGAUUUUGAAGUCCUUUGGUGUGCCGGUACUAUUUAAAAAAAAAUUGAGGUGUGUAUGUUGCCGUAUUCUGCCUGUGUUAUUUGUGGGCACUGCAAUUGCUUUGUAGUGUUGUAUUUGUGCCUAUGUGGGCUGUUACAUUGUAUAGAAUACGUUCAUGAGCAGUAUGUGGCAUUGUAUAUGGUGUGUAUGAUACCUAUGAAUGUGGGUUGUCUAUGGAGGCUGCUUGUUGAAUUGUGUUUGGAUAAUGUGACACAUUGUGUAUAUGUGUGUUUGUGUGUGUAUGUACAGUGGGGUACACAUGACCCAUGGGGCCCCAGUGCGAAAAUUCAUCCGUGGGCUCCCCCCCCCCACUUACUCUGCACGAGCAGGGGCUGCGACCCCUGCGACUGCGGUAUGUACGCCAGUGCAUGCAGAUGCACACACACUUAAAGGACCACUACAGACACCCAGAUCACAUCAGCUCAAUGAAGUGGUCUGGGUGCCAGGUCCCUCUAGUUUUAACCCUGCAGCUGAAAACAUAGCAGUUUGCUAUGUUUCACUGAGGGUUAAUCCAGCCUCUAGUGGUUGUCUCAUUGACAGCCGCUAGAGGAGCUUCCGCGAUUCUAAGACACUGAACGUCCAUAGGAAAGCAUUGAGUAAUGCUUUCCUAUGGGCGGUUUGAAUGCGCGCGCGGCUCCUGCUGAGAGGUGGAGGGAUCUCCAGCGCCAAGGGAGUCCGGCACUGGAGAAAGGUAAGUGCUGAAGACACACACACUCUCACGAACAGACGCAUACAUACUAGCUAACAGACACACACAUUUACUGACGGAGACACACUCAGCAACAGACAUACAUACACACUCACAAAACAUACACUCUCACUGACAAAUACACACUCACUAACAGACAUCAAACAGACUCACUAACAGACACACACAAACAUACUCAGUAACAGACACACACAGUAACACACUCACUGACACUCACUAGCAGACACACACUCAAUAACAGACACACUCACUGACACUCACUAGCAGACACACACACUAACACACACACUAACACUCACACACACACUAACACUCACACACUAACACACACACUAACUCUAACACACACAUGUUUUUUUUUUAAAUUUAAUCCCCCAGCCUCCUUACCGUUUGGAGUGCUGAGGGCAUUUCCUGGGGUCCAGUGCUGUCACCAGGCGGGCAGGCAGGCAGGCUGGCUCGUGCACCGCGUACUGAUGCCGGAGCGGGAAGAUGAUGUCAUCUUCAGGCUCCGGUAUCAGUGCGGUGCGCGAGGGAGCUGAAGAGGGAGCACUCAGGGGAGAGUGCUCCCUCGCGCGCCCGCCAGCCCGGUGAUACAAGGGCCAGCCUCGGGGGGCCCUGAGGUGGCCGGCUCCUGGGCCCCCCAGGAGAAGAGGCUGGCCACAGUGGGUACAUACCGGGUCGCAGGGAUAUAGUCCAUAGUUUUGUGUUUGUGGGGUCUGUAUAUUAGUGUGUGAACUGUUUCUAUUAUUUGUAUAAGUGGGAGGCUUAUUCUGCAGCUCUGUGUUUAUUUAGCAGUGUGGGUGACUUUCCUUGGGCCCAGUAGGGACCGGGCUAGCCAGGAACAGGUCAAGGGCAGGAGCUGCAAUAGCUGCUGCGGGUUGCUCUACUCCAGUGUGGGGUUUCGUUCACAAGUGCUGGGAUAUAGUGAUCUGAGAUGGCGUUCACCAUCUGCAAUCAUCACUCAGUUUGCAGUAAGGACUCCUGAUGGACCCUGCCUGUUUGGCUCUGGUAGCAUUGAGUGCCAUACAAAUGUACCCUAAGUGCCAUGCAUGGCACACGUGCCGUAGGUUGAUGACCCCUGAUCUAUAGUCUUCAUCGUGUCCAGUCUCUAGUUGCCAUUGUACAGUGGAGACACAAAAACACUCCUAAAAAGUGACAAGCCUUCAGGUUCUCAGUGUACCUUUCCUAUUCUAUGAAUAAUUGUAUACUCAUAGCAAUAAAUCUAUAGUACAAUACUGAAGAGGAAGUACCUUUUGUUACACAACUAUGUGUUCUAAAAGCCACACCUUUCAUUUAAUGACUUUUUUUUUUUAACUAUUAAACAAUAAAUUGUAGCAAACUGAAAACCAACUUGCGAAAUUUAGGCUAAAAUAUACUAUAGCUGAGUUGAAGAAUGUUUCCAAAUGAUGUAUUUUUGCAUACAUUUGGCACAUGUGCAACAAACGUAAAUCAUGUUUUAGCUUUCAAGCAAACAUGUGGCCACAACCUUGUGUGCAUGAAAAGAAUCAGUGUAGCCCCCGCAAGGGAUACUAAAAUGAAGAAUGCUAUAAAGGAAUCUCAAGAACUCACACAGAAAAUUAUACUGAAAGUACUGCCCCUGGACUGAAAGGAAGGGCAGACAUGACUGCUGCCCAGAAGUAAGGGGGCUGGGACAGGAGUACAACAAUGUUGCAAGUCCAAAGGCAUAAAAAGGAGGAACAGGGGAGGGGACUCACCAGUCAUCCAGAAGGAAUGUAGGUGGCCCUGACUCUUUCCUGCCCACUCUCCCUGUGUUCUAGCUAAAUGGUUGUUUUUUUCCUGGUGUCUGUUCGUGGUUCUGGUUAUGUUUUCUCGUUGUCACAGCUCUGGCGGUGCUCCUGGCCAGUGAAAUGGAAAGUGAAGUGAAAUGAUGAGUCGGCUUGGGGUGUCGCAGCCUACCGAGGGCUGAUGGCGGUAGCCAGGCUGAUACGAACUCUGGACAAGGAAGUGGGAUCUGUCUGUUGGGGGAAGUUACCCAACAGCUGGCAGUUGGAUGGAAUGCUGGUCCGUUAAAAGUUGUAAACUUAAUAAAGCUGUGACCGUUGCCCUUACCCAUAACUCUGGUCUCAUGUGUUUUUGUUAGGGACAACUGGGGGUGGGGACUGG
This is a non-coding RNA of Pelobates cultripes (western spadefoot toad), 3866 nucleotides long. NCBI's taxonomy places the organism in Eukaryota, Metazoa, Chordata, Amphibia, Anura, Pelobatidae. The record is from the annotation of a GenBank genome assembly.